CGGCGAGUGAGCGGCAACAGCUCAAAUUUGAAAUCUGGCCUCGGCCCGAGUUGUAAUUUGCAGAGGAAGCUUUAGGCGCGGCACCUUCUGAGUCCCCUGGAACGGGGCGCCAUAGAGGGUGAGAGCCCCGUAUAGUUGGAUGCCUAGCCUGUGUAAAGCUCCUUCGACGAGUCGAGUAGUUUGGGAAUGCUGCUCAAAAUGGGAGGUAAAUUUCUUCUAAAGCUAAAUACCGGCCAGAGACCGAUAGCGCACAAGUAGAGUGAUCGAAAGAUGAAAAGCACUUUGAAAAGAGGGUUAAAUAGCACGUGAAAUUGUUGAAAGGGAAGCGCUUGUGACCAGACUUGCGCCGGGCUGAUCAUCCGGUGUUCUCACCGGUGCACUCUGCCCGGCUCAGGCCAGCAUCGGUUCUCGCGGGGGGAUAAAGGCCCAGGGAACGUAGCUCCUCCGGGAGUGUUAUAGCCCUGGGUGUAAUGCCCUCGCGGGGACCGAGGUUCGCGCAUCUGCAAGGAUGCUGGCGUAAUGGUCACCAGCGAC
This 534-nucleotide ribosomal RNA is filed under the name fungal endophyte. Its description in RNAcentral is "eukaryotic LSU rRNA". It matches the Rfam family "Eukaryotic large subunit ribosomal RNA", at positions 87 to 648 of the family's 3401-position model. The record is from RNAcentral. Lineage: Eukaryota; Fungi.